This 520-nucleotide ribosomal RNA is filed under the name uncultured Glomus. RNAcentral's name for it is "SSU rRNA". It matches the Rfam family "Eukaryotic small subunit ribosomal RNA", at positions 569 to 1091 of the family's 1831-position model. Lineage: Eukaryota; Fungi; Glomeromycota; Glomeromycetes; Glomerales; Glomeraceae. The record is from RNAcentral.
AGCAGCCGCGGUAAUUCCAGCUCCAAUAGCGUAUAUUAAAGUUGUUGCAGUUAAAAAGCUCGUAGUUGAAUUUCGGGGUUAGUAGGUUGGUCAUGCCUCUGGUAUGUACUGGUCUCACUGAUUCCUCCCUCCUGAUGAACCUUAAUGCCAUUAAUUUGGUGUUUUGGGGAAUUUGGACUGUUACUUUGAAAAAAUUAGAGUGUUUAAAGCAAGCUAACGCUUGAAUACAUUAGCAUGGAAUAAUGAAAUAGGACGUUCGAUCCUAUUUUGUUGGUUUCUAGGAUUGACGUAAUGAUUAAUAGGGAUAGUUGGGGGCAUUAGUAUUCAAUUGUCAGAGGUGAAAUUCUUGGAUUUAUUGAAGACUAACUACUGCGAAAGCAUUUGCCAAGGAUGUUUUCAUUAAUCAAGAACGAAAGUUAGGGGAUCGAAGACGAUCAGAUACCGUCGUAGUCUUAACCAUAAACUAUGCCGACUAGGGAUCGGAUGAUGUUAAUUUUUAAUGACUCAUUCGGCGCCUUAC